UGGGGAAUAUUGGGCAAUGGGCGAAAGCCUGACCCAGCAACGCCGCGUGAGUGAUGAAGGCCUUCGGGUUGUAAAACUCUUUGGACAGGGACGAAGAAAGUGACGGUACCUGUAGAACAAGCCCCGGCUAACUUCGUGCCAGCAGCCGCGGUAAUACGAAGGGGGCUAGCGUUGUUCGGAUUUACUGGGCGUAAAGCGCACGUAGGCGGACUUUUAAGUCAGGGGUGAAAUCCCGGGGCUCAACCCCGGAACUGCCUUUGAUACUGGAAGUCUUGAGUAUGGUAGAGGUGAGUGGAAUUCCGAGUGUAGAGAUGAAAUUCGUAGAUAUUCGGAGGAACACCAGUGGCGAAGGCGGCUCACUGGACCAUUACUGACGCUGAGGUGCGAAAGCGGGGGGAGCAAACAGG
This 407-nucleotide ribosomal RNA is filed under the name Verrucomicrobiota bacterium. Its description in RNAcentral is "Verrucomicrobia bacterium partial 16S ribosomal RNA". It matches the Rfam family "Bacterial small subunit ribosomal RNA", at positions 355 to 776 of the family's 1533-position model. The record is from RNAcentral. Lineage: Bacteria; Pseudomonadati; Verrucomicrobiota.